UUGAAAUAAACCUGAUGGGUUGUUGCUGGUUCUCUAGGGAGCAUGUGCACGCCUUCAGGUCUAUCUUGCUUUUUCAUUUACCCCAAUGUAUGUUAAUAGAAUGUUGUGACUAUAAAAUCUAUA
RNAcentral lists this unclassified non-coding RNA (123 nucleotides) under uncultured Cortinarius. RNAcentral's name for it is "sequence contains ITS1". The record is from RNAcentral. Lineage: Eukaryota; Fungi; Basidiomycota; Agaricomycetes; Agaricales; Cortinariaceae.